UUAAUAUUGCAAAUAGUAUAAUUGAUUUAUAAUCAAUUUGAUUUACACUAAAAGCUCAUAGGUAAGGGUGGGUAAAAUAUUCGACUCGGCUUGAUUUGAAAAAUAUCGAGUUCGGAUCAGAUCGAGUUGUUAACAAAACCUGAUCGGAUGCUUUUGUGCCAACUCGAUUACUCGAUUCCAUCUGAAAACCCGAUCUGGUUGGCUUUAAAAUAAAAACUUCUAGAAAUUGAAAACUAAAAAUGAAAAACCAAAAACUAAAGUACUAAACCUAAACACUCGCACACAACAUACACAAAAACAAUUACAAGCAAACACAUUAGCAACACACACAGGCUACGUCGAUAAUUACAUGGCCACACCCACUCAUAGCCUCCCUUGCUUGCAGCCCACUAUCGACAGCCAUACCCAUAACCUCCCUCAACAACUUCCAAUCUCAACUUUUCAUCUCUAACAAAUGAAACACGAACACAAAAAACUAUCAAACACACGCAAAGAGUUCACAGAGCAAGCUACAACCAGUCACCAAAAAUAACACCCGCCCAAGCGCCGACGGCAACUGAAUCUGUUCCACGAGUAAACAAACUAGAUCUACCGAUCUGCUACUACCGAGUACUGGAUCUACUGCUCUAUUUCCACGCCUCCAAUCCUCCGCCAUCACUCGAUAUGAUUCAAGCUCCAUUUGAACCUGGAAGCGGCAACUCGAAUUUUUGUUGUUAACUUUGAGUUUUGUAAGCUUUGAGAUUGAGCCUUUGAUAUUGAUGGUAUAUACUAUAUAUAUUUUAUAUAUUAUAUGUGCA
RNAcentral lists this long non-coding RNA (797 nucleotides) under Citrus sinensis (sweet orange). Its description in RNAcentral is "long non-coding RNA (CSIN_LNC004309)". Lineage: Eukaryota; Viridiplantae; Streptophyta; Magnoliopsida; Sapindales; Rutaceae. The record is from RNAcentral.